Molecule: ribosomal RNA, 484 nt
Filed under: uncultured bacterium
Lineage: Bacteria
Description: partial 16S ribosomal RNA
Rfam family: Bacterial small subunit ribosomal RNA
Source: RNAcentral
AUUGAACGCUGGCGGCAGGCCUAACACAUGCAAGUCGAGCGGAUGAAGGGAGCUUGCUCCUGGAUUCCGCGGCGGACGGGUGAGUAAUGCCUAGGAAUCUGCCUGGUAGUUGGGGAUAACGUCCGUACACGGGCGCUAAUACCGCAUACGUCCUGAGGGAGAAAGUGGUGGAUCUUCGGACCUCACGCUAUCAGAUGAGCCUAGGUCGGAUUAGCUAGUUGGUGGGGUAAAGGCCUACCAAGGCGACGAUCCGUAACUGGUCUGAGAGGAUGAUCAGUCACACUGGAACUGAGACACGGUCCAGACUCCUACGGGAGGCAGCAGUGGGGAAUAUUGGACAAUGGGCGAAAGCCUGAUCCAGCCAUGCCGCGUGUGUGAAGAAGGUCUUCGGAUUGUAAAGCACUUUAAGUUGGGAGGAAGGGAAGUAAGUUAAUACCUGGCUGUUUUGACGGUACCAACAGAAUAAGCACCGGCUAACUUCGUG